UACGAAGGGGGCUAGCGUUGUUCGGAAUUACUGGGCGUAAAGGGCUCGUAGGCGGCCAACUAAGUCAGACGUGAAAUCCCUUAGCUUAACUGGGGAACUGCGUCUGAUACUGGAUGGCUUGGAUCCGGGAGAGGGAUGCGGAAUUCCAGGUGUAGCGGUGAAAUGCGUAGAUAUCAGGAGGAACACCUGUGGUGUAGACAGCUUACUGGACCAUAACUGACGCUGAGGCACGAAAGCGUGGGUAGCAAACAGG
RNAcentral lists this ribosomal RNA (253 nucleotides) under uncultured bacterium. RNAcentral's name for it is "partial 16S ribosomal RNA". It matches the Rfam family "Bacterial small subunit ribosomal RNA", at positions 524 to 776 of the family's 1533-position model. The record is from RNAcentral.